Molecule: transfer RNA, 72 nt
Filed under: Chitinophagaceae bacterium
Lineage: Bacteria; Pseudomonadati; Bacteroidota; Chitinophagia; Chitinophagales; Chitinophagaceae
Description: tRNA-Met
Rfam family: tRNA
About the family: Transfer RNA (tRNA) molecules are approximately 80 nucleotides in length. Their secondary structure includes four short double-helical elements and three loops (D, anti-codon, and T loops).
Source: RNAcentral
CGUGAGGUGGAGAAGUGGUAUCUCACCGGGCUCAUAACCCGGGGAUCGUAGGUUCGAAUCCUACCCUCGCAA